GGGGAAUAUUGCGCAAUGGGGGAAACCCUGACGCAGCAACGCCGCGUGGGUGAUGAAGGUCUUCGGAUUGUAAAACCCUGUCUUCUGGGACGAUAAUGACGGUACCAGAGGAGGAAGCCACGGCUAACUACGUGCCAGCAGCCGCGGUAAUACGUAGGUGGCGAGCGUUGUCCGGAUUUACUGGGCGUAAAGGAUGCGUAGGCGGGCAUUUAAGUGAGAUGUGAAAUCCCCGGGCUUAACUUGGGGGCUGCAUUUCAAACUGGGUGCCUAGAGUGCAGGAGAGGUAAGUGGAAUUCCUAGUGUAGCGGUGAAAUGCGUAGAGAUUAGGAAGAACACCAGUGGCGAAGGCGACUUACUGGACUGUAACUGACGCUGAGGCAUGAAAGCGUGGGUAGCAAAC
This 400-nucleotide ribosomal RNA is filed under the name uncultured bacterium. RNAcentral describes it as "bacterial SSU rRNA". It matches the Rfam family "Bacterial small subunit ribosomal RNA", at positions 356 to 773 of the family's 1533-position model. The record is from RNAcentral.